This 237-nucleotide long non-coding RNA is filed under the name Elaeis guineensis (African oil palm). RNAcentral's name for it is "long non-coding RNA (EGUI_LNC080048)". Lineage: Eukaryota; Viridiplantae; Streptophyta; Magnoliopsida; Arecales; Arecaceae. The record is from RNAcentral.
UCCGUCACUGUAUUAGAAAUCUAAAUAAUCUGACACCAAAGCAUAGUGAGUUGCUUGCAAGUCACUAUGAUGAUCUCAGGUCUGAAGGACACUUAUACCCAUGUGCUUCGUGAGUAGCUCUUGAUAGUAGAACGCUCAGCAGGUGAAUCACCUAUUUAAUGAUGAUGUACUUCUACAUCUCACCUGUAUGUCAUACCAAUGUCACCAUACUCCUUAAUUAAGAGGACAACUAACCCA